GUUUUCGGAAAUAAGACGUUUUUUUAUCCCUAGAAUACUAAACAGCUAUGAGAUAUAUCCUCUUGGUUGUGGUUGUCCUUGUGGUGCUGGUAGACCAGGCCAAUGGUAACUGUCCCCCAUGUUCCGAAACCACAUGUGUGAGGCCUAAGCGUACGGAAUGCAGAAAAAGAAACUUCGUAAAAGACACCUGUGGAUGCUGUGAUGUUUGUGGAACUAGAUUCAGGCGACCUUGUUCUGCAAUGACACCAAAGUGCGCAAGGAACAGGUGGUGCAUAAACAUAGUGAAUAAUACCAUGGCGGAGGCCAAGAGACACGUAGUCUUACCCGAUACCUUUCAGGGUGUGUGUGGAAGAAUAAGAGUCUGAAAACCUGAUUAAUACAGUUCUAUCAAGAUCUUGGACCAGAUCUCAGCUCACCACGUAAACAACACACUGUAUUUAUACUAAAAUAAGAUUAAAAUAUAACUGAAUCCAA
Long non-coding RNA from Haliotis rufescens (red abalone), 474 nucleotides. RefSeq lists it as uncharacterized. The transcript has 3 exons. The record is from RefSeq and is a predicted model, not a curated record. NCBI's taxonomy places the organism in Eukaryota, Metazoa, Mollusca, Gastropoda, Lepetellida, Haliotidae.